AGCAGUCGCCACGGUAAUACGUAGGGCGCAAGCGUUGUCCGGAAUUAUUGGGCGUAAAGAGCUCGUAGGCGGUCUGUCGCGUCUGGUGUGAAAUCCCGAGGCUCAACCUCGGGCUUGCAUCGGGUACGGGCAGACUAGAGUGCGGUAGGGGAGACUGGAAUUCCUGGUGUAGCGGUGGAAUGCGCAGAUAUCAGGAGGAACACCGAUGGCGAAGGCAGGUCUCUGGGCCGCAACUGACGCUGAGGAGCGAAAGCAUGGGGAGCGAACAGGAUUAGAUACCCGCGUAGUCCCUGUCUCUUAUAA
RNAcentral lists this ribosomal RNA (303 nucleotides) under uncultured bacterium. RNAcentral's name for it is "partial 16S ribosomal RNA". It matches the Rfam family "Bacterial small subunit ribosomal RNA", at positions 507 to 809 of the family's 1533-position model. The record is from RNAcentral.